GAUGAACGCUGGCGGCGUGCCUAAUACAUGCAAGUCGAGCGAAUGGAUUAAGAGCUUGCUCUUAUGAAGUUAGCGGCGGACGGGUGAGUAACACGUGGGUAACCUGCCCAUAAGACUGGGAUAACUCCGGGAAACCGGGGCUAAUACCGGAUAAYAUUUUGAACYGCAUGGUUCGAAAUUGAAAGGCGGCUUCGGCUGUCACUUAUGGAUGGACCCGCGUCGCAUUAGCUAGUUGGUGAGGUAACGGCUCACCAA
This 255-nucleotide ribosomal RNA is filed under the name Bacillus sp. R-26055. RNAcentral's name for it is "partial 16S ribosomal RNA". It matches the Rfam family "Bacterial small subunit ribosomal RNA", at positions 28 to 271 of the family's 1533-position model. Lineage: Bacteria; Bacillati; Bacillota; Bacilli; Caryophanales; Bacillaceae. The record is from RNAcentral.